Long non-coding RNA from Scophthalmus maximus (turbot), 3209 nucleotides. RefSeq lists it as uncharacterized. The transcript is spliced from 2 exons. NCBI's taxonomy places the organism in Eukaryota, Metazoa, Chordata, Actinopteri, Pleuronectiformes, Scophthalmidae. The record is from RefSeq and is a predicted model, not a curated record.
AAGGAAUCUGGGUCGGUGAGGUUGUGGCAGGAGGUGAAGGGCGCCUCAUACAGGAGUUCACAGCUGUGGAGGGAGACAGAACCAUCGUGUUCAACAAUGUGAGCGACCAGGUGAAGGAGUGUUGUCACAGUCAUGUUCUGUAUCGUCACAGGACUCGUGUGGUGUCAGCUGAUCUCACACUGAGUCUCAGGUUGUAUCUUAUGUAUAUUAAUAACUGGGAGCAUAAAGUCAAGUACAAGUACUUUGGUUUAUUCUAGUUUGGUGCAGCACUUGAGUAAAUGUACUUAGUGAUUUAAACGUGAGGCUCACAGACUAACGUGUGAUGCCGAGUGAGACCGGCUGUUCGAGCCCAGUGUGUGUUCAGGUGUGUCUCACCGCUCAGUCACUGUGGUGCAGUUGAUGGUCCCGUCAGCAGGUUCAGGGAACUGCUCUUCACAGCUGGGGGGCAAAGAGCAGAGGGUCAGGACUGUUCUCUGGGCCUGACUCCUUCACAUCAACACACAGGUCUGACAUUCAGGACGAGGUCUCACCUGCUGGAGCUGAACUCAGGAAGCACUUCAUCAGAAGAUCCGCCGGAGGAAUAACAUAAACCUGGGAUGUAGCUAUCAGACUGCACUGGACAGUUUGAGGAGAGAAGGAGUCAGAAGAAGAAAAGUCAGACUGGAUGAACAUUUAUCUGUCAACCAGCGAUUCAACCAGCCGCUGUACGACCACACCUGAAGAUGUAGACAGACCGUCAGAACACUGCGGGUCAAAGGUCAAAGUCGAAAUCCUUCAGAAUAAAAACGAUUUCAUCAGACGUCAGUGAGACGUCAAAGAGCUGCAGACGCCUCAGGGUCAGAGGAGAUCCUCCAUGACAGUCUCCAUGUCCGAUCAGUCUAAGCAUCUUCACCAGUGAGGAACUGAAUACUGAUGAUGGUCUGAUUUCUGUUCACUGGCCCAUAAAGUCAAAUCAGUUCACAUGUGAAUCAACCCGUCCCAACAAACAGCUCAGUGGCGACUCAGGUGUAUGACAGGUGCUCAGCGUCACAUGGGCCCGGCUGGUGUCGUGGAGGAAAAGCUUCUCUGGACUUUGUCUCUACCUGUCUUGUGGAUCUGUGCGGUGGAGCCAUCGAAGAAGACAGAGGUGGUGUAGUUGGAGAGGAGGAACGUGGCGGUGACUCCGGUCUGGUUCUUGGAGACGUCCACACCGUGAAGAGACAGAGGCAAGCUGCCGAGGCUCAGCGGCGCGUCGUCCACCUGCGUCACAGCGGAGGACAACGCUGGUUCAACCACGUUGUUCAACACUUCAGUCCACUGGACACUCAAGACUCACUGAUCCGUCCACCAGCACCAGCUGUCGACCAAACAGCCAACUACUGAGUGAAGUUCAGCCGGUAACUGGAUCAUGGACAUGAGUCUUGAUUUAGCUCGGCUGCAGAAGGUAACAGGGUUCUAUUAGUUUCUUGUUCUGAGCGUUUGAUGAGUGUAAUUCUAACGCUUUAGAAUAACCCACUACAUGUUAGCAGUCAGGCAGACAAACGCAUUAACAUUUGCAACAGUUAACAUCUGUGUAUAUGAAGUAAUAAACCAGAGGAACCAAAUUUGGGCUUUUAUGAAAAAGUUGAAAUGAAGUUUAUCUACAUUUCACCAACACCACCAUCUUUCCUGGACCUGAAGGUCGUCACAGGCCGAAGGAGACGGUCACAGCGAGAGGACAGAGAGCGAGUGAACACACAAGGACAGAUGUUUUCUUCCUCCUACAGAGGAGACCACGACAGUCCAGAUGUUUUGUACGAAGCAGUGGACUGCGUUCGGAGCAGACAGGACGUCAGAGGAGAGGAGGGCGGUGGACCGUGCACUGUCGCCCUCUACAGGCCAGAAAGAGGAGUGCACUCCUUUGCUUUAAUUAAAGGGGCAGUCCACCCAAAACCAAACACAUAACCACCACAUGAUGUUUGUUGUAGACACGUUGAUGAAAACAGAAAGACAAAAGAGGGAUGGUUAAUGCACAGUGAUCCACUGAUGAUCUCCACCAACCAGGAGGACGUCAGCUCCACUCUCUCUGUGGCUGAGGGUGGUUUACCUGAAGCCUCAGGCCUGGUCCCAGGGUGAUGUUGACACCCGGCCCGUCCAAACGCAGGAUCACUUUGUCCAACAGACUGAAGUCUUUACGGCGUCGGUCCCGGAAGACGGCCAGCAGCUCGACGCCCGACUCUGACAACAGAGUGUAAGCACAGCGAUCCGGGACAGAGACGACAUAGUUCAAGAAGUUGACGACAGUGGAGCCGAUCACGGUGCACGUGGGACACCUAACACACAGGGGAGGUGGAGAUGUUUUAUCACCAGCAGCUGAUGACAAAAGUAUUUACCUGGAAAUAUAACUGAGAUAUAUUUACUGGCACAUAAAUCCACAAGGAAAGACAGUGAGGGCUCCUUCUGCACUACAGGUCACACUGGAACCAUCUGGAUUACAGACCAUCUCAUUCACUCCAUAGUAAACACCUGUAAAACAGAGAGGAUUCAGUUGUGAUAUUGAAUCGUAAGAGAAUAAGAUAACAGCAACAUUGGAACAUGAUCAUACUGUGAGGGCCCCUGUGAAGGCUCAGUUCACUCACACCACACAGCAACAUAUGUCCUCAUGUUUGCUCCACCUCACACACUGCAGGUGGGUGGAGUCACUUUGUGGCUUGUCGUUUCACUGGAACUACUUCCUGGAGGAGCGUUUCUGUGGAAACCGUCUCCACUAACAUGAACAUCUGUAACAUCAUCUCACAGAAACUAACUUCACCUCCAGUGUGGUGCGGUGGAGUCGGAGAGCUCAGCGAGACGAAGCUCUGUCCCAGGACGGAUCAAAUCAAACUAUCUGACGGGACAGAGAGGAACUAUGUUUGUUUGUGAUUUGGGUGAACUGACCCUUUAAUAAUCACCAGCUCUGCUCACCUGACUUUAUGCAGGCAAAAGAGAAUUUAUAGGUACUUGAUCUGAUACUGUACGUGUCCACUGAAACACCAUCGACCAUCACGUCGACACUCUGCAGAGGAACGACACAGUUACUGUCUCACACUGACACACAGGAAGACAUCACACUGUCUCCAUGGCAACACAACUGUGAAGAGGCGGAACUUUCACUUCACUGAUCAUCAACUUCUCUCCAGUUGCUGUUUGUCGUACGUGUACUUACCAAAACUCCUUUGGUGUAUAAAAUAAAAAGAAGAGCUGAUUUUGUC